CGGAGGGUGCGAGCGUUGUCCGGAUUUAUUGGGUUUAAAGGGUGCGUAGGCGGCUCUGUAAGUCUGGGGUGAAAGCCCGUUGCUCAACAACGGAACUGCCCUGGAAACUGCCGAGCUUGAGUACAGACGAGGGUGGCGGAAUGGAUACUGUAGCGGUGAAAUGCAUAGAUAGUAUCCAGAACCCCGAUUGCGAAGGCAGCUGCCUAGACUGUAACUGACGCUGAGGCACGAAAGCGUGGGAGCGAACAGGAUU
Molecule: ribosomal RNA, 253 nt
Filed under: uncultured bacterium
Lineage: Bacteria
Description: partial 16S ribosomal RNA
Rfam family: Bacterial small subunit ribosomal RNA
Source: RNAcentral